AAAAAAAAAAAAAAAGAUUGAAAAUUUGGAGAUUUAUGUGAUUAUGUAAUUGAUAAUAUAUUAAAAUGAGAGAUUGAAAAUGGAAAAUGAGGUAAUUGUUGAGGUGAAGGAAGGGGGGAGUUGGGGAAUGUAAGGAACCAAUGAGCAUGAGCCGCAUUUUGAUAUCACAUCUCCAAUCAUAGCGUAUACUCAAAUGGAUCAUCCGGCGAAAUCGGAUACCCAUCUGUGACAAGAAGUGAAAUUUGUGGAAUUUAUGUAGUCUAAGAUCUCUAUAAACAAAAAAACGCGCACGAUUGAUUGAUUGAUUGAUCGAGGGAGAGAGAAGAAGGAAGAGCAAGUGUUCGUUCGUGGGUAUAUGUUUGGGAGAGAGAAAAAGGCUUUUAGAGAGACAAGACAUACACAGGGGAGAGACUUUUAGAGAGAGAAAGUUCUGGGAGGCGCAGGGGAAUUGGGCCUUUUUUCCCAGUUCGCGAUGCUUUGAUUGGAAUCUGCAGCAGCAGCAGCAGCAACA
Molecule: non-coding RNA, 511 nt
Organism: Cucurbita pepo subsp. pepo (vegetable marrow)
Lineage: Eukaryota; Viridiplantae; Streptophyta; Magnoliopsida; Cucurbitales; Cucurbitaceae
Source: RefSeq, a predicted model, not a curated record